CUUACCGGGUCCGGACACACUGAGGAUUGACAGGUAUUAUAUAAUUGCUCUUCGGAGCUUUUAUUGUUAAAUAUGCUAGUCCUUUCAUGAUUAUGUGAUAGGUGGUGCAUGGCCGUUCUUAGUUCGUGGAGUGAUCUGUCUGCUUAAUUGCGUUUCACUAUAGGUCCUAUAUUCUUAAAAUGUGUGCAGUGCAUUGACCCCUUGUUUUUAACAAGCGCGUGUCUUUGUGCUCACACUUUCAUUAGGUCCUGAAAGCAACGAACGUGACCGCAACCUCUUGUUGCCUCAUUUCAAACGCGUACAUACACUGGUUUUCUAAGUAUUACGCUUAUUGAGGCUUUUUUAAACUAGAGGGACCGCUGUCAACUUCUUAAACCAGAGGAAGGUUGCGGCAAUAACAGGUCUGUGAUGCCCUUAGAUGUUCCGGGCUGCACACGUGCUACAAUGAUUGUUGCAGUGAGCAUCUCAAUUUUUUACCUAACACCGCAUACGUGAGUUAAACUUUAGCUUUCGGGUUAUUGUUGUACUUUACGCAGCGGUAAAGCCUGCUUCGAGAGCAAGUGGGUAAUCAAUUAGAAGUAACGAUUUCCCUUUUUAGCACACUUAUAUACGGCGUUUAUGCCCGGGUUUCACUUGUUGGAGCUUUUGUGCGUGUAGAUGUUUUUUCCGUAUGUGCGAUUGUCAAUUCAUGGUGGGGACAGACCAUUGUUAAUUGUUGGUCUCGUUCUAACUAGGAAUGCCUUGUACGGGUCUUUGGUUCAACAAACCACCCGGAAUACGUCCCUGCCCUUUGUACACACCGCCCGUCGCUCUUACCGAUGGACUUCUCUGUGAGUUUGAGGGACUGGGUUGAUGCUUCGGCGUUAGCCUAUGGAAACUUAAACGAACAGUGUGGUCUAAAGGAAAGAGAAGUCGU
Molecule: ribosomal RNA, 916 nt
Filed under: Candeina nitida
Lineage: Eukaryota; Foraminifera; Rotaliida; Candeinidae
Description: SSU rRNA
Rfam family: Eukaryotic small subunit ribosomal RNA
Source: RNAcentral